This 574-nucleotide ribosomal RNA is filed under the name uncultured bacterium. RNAcentral's name for it is "bacterial SSU rRNA". It matches the Rfam family "Bacterial small subunit ribosomal RNA", at positions 78 to 646 of the family's 1533-position model. The record is from RNAcentral.
UUGCUUCCGGCUGACAAGUGGCGGACGGGUGAGUAACGCGUGGGAAUCUGCCUACUAGCGGGGGAUAGCCACGAGAAAUCCGGAUUAAUACCGCAUACGCCCUACGGGGGAAAGCUGGGGAUCUUCGGACCUGGCACUAGUAGAUGAGCCCGCGUUGGAUUAGCUUGUUGGUGGGGUAAUGGCCUACCAAGGCAACGAUCCAUAGCUGUUCUGAGAGGAAGAUCAGCCACACUGGGACUGAGACACGGCCCAGACUCCUACGGGAGGCAGCAGUGGGGAAUAUUGCACAAUGGGCGCAAGCCUGAUGCAGCAAUACCGCGUGUGUGAAGAAGGCCUGAGGGUUGUAAAGCACUUUCAAUCGUGAAGAAAAGCUUAAGGUUAAUACCUUUAAGUCUUGACAUUAUCGAUACAAGAAGCACCGGCUAACUCCGUGCCAGCAGCCGCGGUAAUACGGAGGGUGCAAGCGUUUAAUCGGAAUUACUGGGCGUAAAGCGUGCGUAGGCGGUUUACUAAGUCAUAUGUGNAAAGCCCCGGGCUUAACCUGGGAACUGCAUUUGAUACUGGUAGGCUAGAG